Molecule: ribosomal RNA, 483 nt
Filed under: uncultured bacterium
Lineage: Bacteria
Description: partial 16S ribosomal RNA
Rfam family: Bacterial small subunit ribosomal RNA
Source: RNAcentral
GACGAACGCUGGCGGCGUGCUUAACACAUGCAAGUCGAACGAUGAAGCCGGAGCUUGCUCCGGUGGAUUAGUGGCGAACGGGUGAGUAACACGUGAGCAAUCUGCCCUUGACUCUGGGAUAACUGCGGGAAACUGUAGCUAAUACCGGAUACGACACCUUGGGGCAUCCCAGGGUGUGGAAAGAAUUUCGGUCAAGGAUGAGCUCGCGGCCUAUCAGCUAGUUGGUGAGGUAAUGGCUCACCAAGGCGACGACGGGUAGCCGGCCUGUGAGGGUGACCGGCCACACUGGAACUGAGACACGGACCAGACUCCUACGGGAGGCAGCAGUGGGGAAUAUUGCACAAUGGGCGAAAGCCUGAUGCAGCAACGCCGCGUGAGGGAUGAAGGCCUUCGGGUUGUAAACCUCUUUUAGCAGGGAAGAAGCGAAAGUGACGGUACCUGCAGAAAAAGCACCGGCUAACUACGUGCCAGCCGCCGCCGUAA